RNAcentral lists this ribosomal RNA (495 nucleotides) under uncultured bacterium. RNAcentral's name for it is "partial 16S ribosomal RNA". It matches the Rfam family "Bacterial small subunit ribosomal RNA", at positions 28 to 507 of the family's 1533-position model. The record is from RNAcentral.
GACGAACGCUGGCGGCGUGCCUAAUACAUGCAAGUAGAACGCUGAAGGAGGAGCUUGCUUCUCUGGAUGAGUUGCGAACGGGUGAGUAACGCGUAGGUAACCUGCCUGGUAGCGGGGGAUAACUAUUGGAAACGAUAGCUAAUACCGCAUAAGAUUGACUAUUGCAUGAUAGUCAGUUAAAAGGUGCAAUUGCAUCACUACCAGAUGGACCUGCGUUGUAUUAGCUAGUUGGUGGGGUAACGGCUCACCAAGGCGACGAUACAUAGCCGACCUGAGAGGGUGAUCGGCCACACUGGGACUGAGACACGGCCCAGACUCCUACGGGAGGCAGCAGUAGGGAAUCUUCGGCAAUGGACGGAAGUCUGACCGAGCAACGCCGCGUGAGUGAAGAAGGUUUUCGGAUCGUAAAGCUCUGUUGUAAGAGAAGAACGAGUGUGAGAGUGAAAAGUUCACACUGUGACGGUAUCUUACCAGAAAGGGACGGCUAACUACGUG